GGGUCUGUAGCUUAGUCAGGUAGAGCAUCCGGCUCUUAACCGGACGGUCGCGGGUUCGAACCCCGUCAGACCCGCCA
This 77-nucleotide transfer RNA is filed under the name Candidatus Thalassarchaeaceae archaeon. RNAcentral's name for it is "tRNA-Lys". It matches the Rfam family "tRNA". Rfam says of the family: Transfer RNA (tRNA) molecules are approximately 80 nucleotides in length. The record is from RNAcentral. Lineage: Archaea; Methanobacteriati; Thermoplasmatota; Candidatus Poseidoniia; Candidatus Poseidoniales; Candidatus Thalassarchaeaceae.